Molecule: long non-coding RNA, 399 nt
Filed under: Pongo abelii (Sumatran orangutan)
Lineage: Eukaryota; Metazoa; Chordata; Mammalia; Primates; Hominidae
Description: lincRNA
Source: RNAcentral
GUGGAGCUGGAAAGGUGGAGGCGGAAGUGACUGAUCAAUUCAGGGGUGUGGGGUUCGUUUAGGUUUUGCCCUGUGUAUGACCUCUUUUGGAGCCAUGAAACCAGCCUCAAGCUUUAUUCUAGGGAGAUGAGCAAAGCAGACCUUGGUGGCCAGAGGGAGCCCUCAGGUAGAGCUGCAGAUGCUGGCAGUUUGUGUUAGAAGGUUCCGGGGCUAAACAGAUGUCUAGAAUUAGCUACCAAAAGGUAAAUUGUAGACUCUGCUCUUCAACAAGAAGCAGAAGGAUUAGGAAUUCAAACAAUACUAUUUUACAGUGGCUUUUCUACAAUAUAAAGAUGGAAAUGGGAUGAAGAUGUUCAUUGCAAAUUAGGAAAGCUCUUCCACAAGUUCACCAAUGGAAAU